CCAGACUCCUACGGGAGGCAGCAGUGGGGGAUAUUGCACAAUGGGGGGAACCCUGAUGCAGCGACGCCGCGUGGGUGAAGGAGCGUUUCGGCGCGUAAAGCCCUAUCGGCAGGGAAGAAGGAGGACGGUACCUGACUAAGAAGCCCCGGCUAACUACGUGCCAGCAGCCGCGGUAAUACGUAGGGGGCAAGCGUUAUCCGGAUUUACUGGGUGUAAAGGGGGCGCAGACGGCAGCGCAAGCCAGGAGUGAAAGCCCGGGGCCCAACCCCGGGACUGCUCUUGGAACUGCGCGGCUGGAGUACCGGAGAGGUAAGCGGAAUUCCUAGUGUAGCGGUGAAAUGCGUAGAUAUUAGGAGGAACACCAGUGGCGAAGGCGGCUUACUGGACGGUAACUGACGUUGAGGCUCGAAAGCGUGGGGAGCAAACAGGAUUAGAUACCCCUGUACC
Molecule: ribosomal RNA, 447 nt
Filed under: uncultured bacterium
Lineage: Bacteria
Description: partial 16S ribosomal RNA
Rfam family: Bacterial small subunit ribosomal RNA
Source: RNAcentral